UGGUUUAUUACUGCAGUUUUCGUAAAUAAACAAAGCAAUCGGUGAGUUUUUUGCCGACUCCGUGACAAAAUCGCUGCAGGUUUGUGCCGCUCCGCUGGUGGUCCCACUGGGCAGGAUGAUGAUUUCCAAAGCUACGAGACGCGUUUGAUCCGUCGGUGGAGGAAGAACCGAGUGGAGGUUGUGGGGCACUUGCAGGCCGCGAACGGGAAGGUGGUAUUUGAAUCUUCGAGCGCGAAUCGGGAGGGAUAAGUGAAAAAAGAUGAAGAACGACAAGCCGGAAUACGUCGAUGGGUGUUUGGGACCAUGGAGCAAAUACGAGUAUGAAGAAAUUGUGUCAAGACCGAGCGGGUUUCAAUAGUGAAGAUGAUGGCCAAGAAGUAUUGUCGGAACCGCGCCAAUCGAGUCUGUGCGGCACACAAAGUUUUUGUUAUCGAUCGUUUCUGCAACCUCCGCACGACGUUGGGGUUAAUAUGGGCAAAUAUUGUGCCCCCUAAAGGUGCUUCCUUUUAAAGGGUAACAUUUACACCUAGACCGGUCACAUCAAAGGCAUUUCCGCCAUCCGGUUGUUCCUCUGGCUCAUCUCCUGUUACCCUGCAGCUUGGACGCCCGGAUCAAGAUCUUGGAGGUUUACAACGACCGGCGUUGCUUGCGAACCUACUGGGACCACCAGCAGGACGGGCGGCGAUACAACAAACAGCAGCUUAGAAGAUCAUUUGCGCGAGUCUGGUGGGACACCCGCAGUGGCGACAUCGUCCAGGAGUACGACCACCAUCUGGGCGCGGCAAACACGAUCACCUUCCGUGAAUAGAACCUCAUGCCAGCGAUGAUGACGGCAAUUGUUUGAUGGCAUGUACGAGCAGCUAGCCUACACUGACAGCAAUAGUCGUUCGCUGAUUCUCGAGUUUCUCCUGCUCCUCACGGAUACAAAUGGUCACCCGGAUGCGUCAAACGGAGAUCCGGUGUUGAUCUUGGACCAUCGUGAGAACAUCACCAACAGUAACAGUUUGCCGGCACCGUUGGCGGUGCUGGCGGAGUUCAACAAGGGUUGCAACUUCAUGCUGGACAUUCCCAAGCUACGGCCUCGUUGGCAUCACCUUUC
This is a long non-coding RNA of Culex quinquefasciatus (southern house mosquito), 1099 nucleotides long. RefSeq lists it as uncharacterized. The transcript has 3 exons. The record is from RefSeq and is a predicted model, not a curated record. Lineage: Eukaryota; Metazoa; Arthropoda; Insecta; Diptera; Culicidae.